UACGUAGGGGGCAAGCGUUUGUCCGGAAUCAUUGGGCGUAAAGAGCGUGUAGGCGGCUUGGUAGGUCCGCUGUGAAAACUCGAGGCUCAACCUCGAGAUGUCGGCGGAAACCACUUGGCUAGAGUCCGGAAGAGGAGAGUGGAAUUCCUGGUGUAGCGGUGAAAUGCGCAGAUAUCAGGAAGAACACCUAUGGCGAAGGCAGCUCUCUGGGACGGUACUGACGCUGAGACGCGAAAGCGUGGGGAGCGAACAGG
Molecule: ribosomal RNA, 254 nt
Filed under: uncultured bacterium
Lineage: Bacteria
Description: partial 16S ribosomal RNA
Rfam family: Bacterial small subunit ribosomal RNA
Source: RNAcentral